AAAGCGCGUUUAAUGGCAAAAUGACAGCCUUCCAAGCUGUUGACAUGGUUCGAGUGCCACCGUUCGCUUUA
This 71-nucleotide transfer RNA is filed under the name Candidatus Hodgkinia cicadicola. Its description in RNAcentral is "tRNA-Gly". The record is from RNAcentral. Lineage: Bacteria; Pseudomonadati; Pseudomonadota; Alphaproteobacteria; Hyphomicrobiales.